This 48-nucleotide non-coding RNA is filed under the name Schistosoma haematobium. Lineage: Eukaryota; Metazoa; Platyhelminthes; Trematoda; Strigeidida; Schistosomatidae. The record is from RNAcentral.
ACCCAGCUGACGAGUCUCGAAUAGGACGAAACGUGCGACAAACUGGAU